UGGCGGCAUGCUUUACACAUGCAAGUCGAACGGCAGCGCGGGGCAACCUGGCGGCGAGUGGCGAACGGGUGAGUAAUACAUCGGAACGUACCCAGAAGUGGGGGAUAACGUAGCGAAAGUUACGCUAAUACCGCAUACGUUCUACGGAAGAAAGUGGGGGACCUUCGGGCCUCAUGCUUUUGGAGCGGCCGAUGUCUGAUUAGCUAGUUGGUGAGGUAAAGGCUCACCAAGGCGACGAUCAGUAGCUGGUCUGAGAGGACGACCAGCCACACUGGGACUGAGACACGGCCCAGACUCCUACGGGAGGCAGCAGUGGGGAAUUUUGGACAAUGGGCGCAAGCCUGAUCCAGCAAUGCCGCGUGAGUGAAGAAGGCCUUCGGGUUGUAAAGCUCUUUUGUCAGGGAAGAAACGGCUGAGGAUAAUACCUUUGGCUAAUGACGGUACCUGAAGAAUAAGCACCGGCUAACUACGUGCCAGCAGCCGCGGUAAUACGUAGGGUGCAAGCGUUAAUCGGAAUUACUGGGCGUAAAGCGUGCGCAGGCGGUUUUGUAAG
RNAcentral lists this ribosomal RNA (553 nucleotides) under uncultured beta proteobacterium. Its description in RNAcentral is "bacterial SSU rRNA". It matches the Rfam family "Bacterial small subunit ribosomal RNA", at positions 37 to 587 of the family's 1533-position model. Lineage: Bacteria; Pseudomonadati; Pseudomonadota; Betaproteobacteria. The record is from RNAcentral.